AAAAUUUUAGUUUAAGAAAAAAAAAUAUUUCAUUUACAAUGAAAAGUUUAAUUUAAUAAAUUAAAAUUUUA
RNAcentral lists this transfer RNA (71 nucleotides) under Bombus longipennis. Its description in RNAcentral is "tRNA-Val". Lineage: Eukaryota; Metazoa; Arthropoda; Insecta; Hymenoptera; Apidae. The record is from RNAcentral.